Long non-coding RNA from Pocillopora damicornis (cauliflower coral), 173 nucleotides. The record is from RefSeq and is a predicted model, not a curated record. Lineage: Eukaryota; Metazoa; Cnidaria; Anthozoa; Scleractinia; Pocilloporidae.
UCAAAAGGACCUCGUAACUCACUCCCGAUCACUUCGUGAAGAGUUUUCUGUUAUCGGAGGAGAAAAACCAUCGGUUGGAAAUGCUUUCAAACAAGGCCCAGUUAUCCAAUCAGCAACCCAUGGGACUGGUAACACGUGACGAUUUAGUGCAUCCCAGAACAGCCCUUCCAAGU